Molecule: unclassified non-coding RNA, 247 nt
Filed under: Pleosporales sp.
Lineage: Eukaryota; Fungi; Ascomycota; Dothideomycetes; Pleosporales
Description: partial contains 5.8S ribosomal RNA, internal transcribed spacer 2, and large subunit ribosomal RNA
Source: RNAcentral
CGCACAUUGCGCCCUUUGGUAUUCCUUAGGGCAUGCCUGUUCGAGCGUCAUUUCAACCUUCAAGCCCCCCUCAUGGCUUGGUGUUGGGCGUCUGUCCCCCCCGGGACUCGCCUCAAAUGCAUUGGCAGCCGGCACGUUGGCUUCGAGCGCAGCAGAAACGCGCGCGGCGUCUGACGGUGCCUGGCUCUCCAGGAAGCCACCCCCCAAGUUUGACCUCGGAUCAGGUAGGGAUACCCGCUGAACUUAA